GACGAACGCUGGCGGCGUGCCUAAUACAUGCAAGUUGAGCGCUGAAGGUUGGUACUUGUACCGACUGGAUGAGCAGCGAACGGGUGAGUAACGCGUGGGGAAUCUGCCUUUGAGCGGGGGACAACAUUUGGAAACGAAUGCUAAUACCGCAUAAAAACUUUAAACACAAGUUUUAAGUUUGAAAGAUGCAAUUGCAUCACUCAAAGAUGAUCCCGCGUUGUAUUAGCUAGUUGGUGAGGUAAAGGCUCACCAAGGCGAUGAUACAUAGCCGACCUGAGAGGGUGAUCGGCCACAUUGGGACUGAGACACGGCCCAAACUCCUACGGGAGGCAGCAGUAGGGAAUCUUCGGCAAUGGACGAAAGUCUGACCGAGCAACGCCGCGUGAGUGAAGAAGGGUUUCGGAUCGUAAAACUCUGUUGGUAGAGAAGGACGUUGGUGAGAGUGGAAAGCUCAUCAAGUGACGGUAACUACACAGAAAGGGACGGCUAACUACGUG
This 497-nucleotide ribosomal RNA is filed under the name uncultured bacterium. RNAcentral's name for it is "partial 16S ribosomal RNA". It matches the Rfam family "Bacterial small subunit ribosomal RNA", at positions 28 to 507 of the family's 1533-position model. The record is from RNAcentral.